UUAAUUAAUUUAUAAUUCCACUCAGACUACAAUCUUCAGACAGAGUUCGAGGUGUCUUCGGCGGGCGCGGGCCCGGGGGCAAAGCCCCCCGGCGGCCAGAAUGGCGGGCCCGCCGAAGCAACAAGGUACAAUAAACACGGGUGGGAGGUUGGACCCAGAGGGCCCUCACUCGGUAAUGAUCCUUCCGCAGGUUCACCUACGGAAA
RNAcentral lists this unclassified non-coding RNA (205 nucleotides) under uncultured fungus. RNAcentral describes it as "sequence contains ITS1". The record is from RNAcentral. Lineage: Eukaryota; Fungi.